GUCAUUCUUCUCCCUCAGCUCGUCGCCCAGUUCAGACGCGUUUAGUAAUUCUUCUCGUGUACAGUAGUUUUAUUUCUCCAAAAAAUAGUAACUCAGUGCUAGGUUAUUUUAAAAUUAAUUUAAUAUUAUAAAUUAAUUUAAUUAUUUAUAAUAUACACACAUAUAUUUUAAUAUUUAUUAAAAUUAAAUAUUAAAAAAUAAUUAUUAAAAUGGCUGAUCAAGAUAACAAAGAUUUUACCGAAGAUAUUACUGAUCAAAGUUAUGAUCAAAACGGUGAUGCCCCGCAAAACGAGACUGGAAAUGGCGGUGAUGCCGGUGACGCCAAUGAGAACGGCCAGGAUUCACAGGAUGACAAAUCAGGCAGUGAUGGUAACCAGGAGUCACUUAAUGACAGGAAACUUUUCGUUGGUGGGCUCAGUUGGGAAACCAAUGACAAGGAAUUAAGAGAUCACUUUGGUAGCUAUGGUGACAUUGAAAGUAUCAAUGUUAAGACAGACCCUAACACCGGAAGAUCGCGAGGAUUUGCUUUUAUUGUUUUCUCUAAAGCUGAAUCUUUGGACAAGAUUAUGGCAGCUGGGGAUCACGUGAUAAACAACAAAAAAGUAGACCCCAAAAAAGCGAAAGCACGUCAUGGUAAAAUCUUCGUCGGUGGUUUGUCGACGGAGUUGUCUGACGAUGAUAUCAAGAGUUUCUUUGAUAAAUUUGGCAAAAUCGUCGAAGUCGAGAUGCCCUUCGACAAAACAAAGAGUCAGCGCAAAGGAUUCUGUUUCAUUACUUUCGAGUCUGAGCAAGUUGUCAACGAACUUUUGAAGACACCUAAACAGACCAUCAACGGUAAAGAGGUCGAUGUCAAAAAAGCAACCCCGAAACCCGACGGCAUGGGAGGCAUGCGCGGCGGAGCCGCAGCUGGCCGCGGAGCGGCCCGCGGUGGUCGUGGAGGCCGAGGCCGCGGCUUCGGUGGCCAAGGAUGGAGCCAAGGUGGCUACGGAGCCGGUGGAUAUGGCGGUGGUUACGGACAAGGAGGUUACGGUGGUGGAUAUGAUGGCUAUGGUAGUUAUGACUAUUAUGGCGGUGGAUAUGGCGGCUACGGUGGUUACGACUACACCGGAUACGACGGCUAUGGCUAUGGCGGUAGUUACGACGGUGGCUACAAUGGUGGUCGCGGUGGUGCACGCGGUAAAGGAGGCUCAGGCUACGGCGGCAAGCAGAGGGGUGGUGGUGGUCGCCAGAACCAAAGGCACCAACCCUAUUAAUUUGGGGAUUCCGUUUAUCGCGAGCUCAAUUAUGCUGUUUAAAUCAUUCAUUUACCACUGGUCUUCAAACUUACAGCAAAAUACACAAUUCAUUGAAUCAUCAUUCCAUAAAGUCAUCGCGUCAUCAACAAAGCAGACAACUGCCGCAAAAUAAUUAUAACAAUCAACAACAAGAUUCGCAACAUCAAAAAACCCACCAACAAACCAAUGUAUCAUACAUGCGUUAAAAUUUGUCCGGCCCUAAUGACCUCACAAUUUAUUAUUAAUAUUUAAUAAUUAAUAAUUAAUAAUAAUAAAUACUGAUAAUAAUAA
Cotesia glomerata is the source of this 1565-nucleotide RNA transcript. It is a transcript of the gene named RNA-binding protein squid, with no coding region annotated. NCBI's taxonomy places the organism in Eukaryota, Metazoa, Arthropoda, Insecta, Hymenoptera, Braconidae. The record is from RefSeq and is a predicted model, not a curated record. The transcript has 10 exons.